CAGCCGCCGCGGUAAUACCGGCGGCCCGAGUGGCGGUCACUAUUAUUGGGCUUAAAGCGUCCGUAGCCGGGUUGGGAAGUCCUCCGGGAAAUCUGGCCGCUUAACGGUCAGAAUGCCGGAGGAUACUCCCAGCCUAGGGAGCGGGAGAGGCCGAGGGUAUUCCCGGAGUAGGGGUGAAAUCCUAUAAUCCCGGGAGGACCUCCUGUGGCGAAGGCGCUCGGCUGGAACGCGUCCGACGGUGAGGGACGAAGGCCAGGGGAGCAAACCGGAUUAGAUACCCGGGUAGUCCUGGCUGUAAACGAUGCGGACUUUGUGUCGGACAAGCUAUGAGCUUGUCCGGUGCCGGAGGGAAACCGUUAAGUCCGCCGCCUGGGGAGUACGGCCGCAAGGCUGAAACUUAAAGGAAUUGGCGGG
This 414-nucleotide ribosomal RNA is filed under the name uncultured microorganism. RNAcentral describes it as "bacterial SSU rRNA". It matches the Rfam family "Archaeal small subunit ribosomal RNA", at positions 459 to 872 of the family's 1478-position model. The record is from RNAcentral.